AGUGAACGCUGGCGGCAUGCCUAACACAUGCAAGUCGAACGGCAGCACAGUAAGAGCUGGCUCUUACGGGUGGCGAGUGGCGGACGGGUGAGGAAUACAUCGGAAUCUACUUUUUCGUGGGGGAUAACGUAGGGAAACUUACGCUAAUACCGCCUACGACCUACGGGUGAAAGCAGGGGAUCUUCGGACCUUGCGCGACUGAAUGAGCCGAUGUCGGAUUAGCUAGUUGGCGGGGUAAAGGCCCACCAAGGCGACGAUCCGUAGCUGGUCUGAGAGGAUGAUCCGCCACACUGGAACUGAGACACGGUCCAGACUCCGACGGGAGGCAGCAGUGGGGAAUAUUGGACAAUGGGCGCAAGCCUGAUCCAGCCAUGCCGCGUGGGUGAAGAAGGCCUUCGGGUUGUAAAGCGCUUUUGUUGGGAAAGAAAAGCAGCAGGUGAAUACCCCGCUGUUCUGACGGUACCCAAAGAAUAAGCACCGGCUAACUUCGUG
RNAcentral lists this ribosomal RNA (492 nucleotides) under uncultured bacterium. Its description in RNAcentral is "partial 16S ribosomal RNA". It matches the Rfam family "Bacterial small subunit ribosomal RNA", at positions 29 to 507 of the family's 1533-position model. The record is from RNAcentral.